GAUGAACGCUGGCGGCGUGCCUAAUACAUGCAAGUCGAGCGAACGGACGAGAAGCUUGCUUUUCUGAUGUUAGCGGCGGACGGGUGAGUACACGUGGAUAACCUACCUAUAAGACUGGGAUAACUUCGGGAAACCGGAGCUAAUACCGGAUAAUAUUUUGAACCGCAUGGUUCAAUAGUGAAAGACGGUCUUGCUGUCACUUAUAGAUGGAUCCGCGCUGCAUUAGCUAGUUGGUAAGGUAACGGCUUACCAAGGCAACGAUGCAUAGCCGACCUGAGAGGGUGAUCGGCCACACUGGAACUGAGACACGGUCCAGACUCCUACGGGAGGCAGCAGUAGGGAAUCUUCCGCAAUGGGCGAAAGCCUGACGGAGCAACGCCGCGUGAGUGAUGAAGGUCUUCGGAUCGUAAAACUCUGUUAUUAGGGAAGAACAUAUGUGUAAGUAACUGUGCACAUCUUGACGGUACCUAAUCAGAAAGCCACGGCUAACUACGUG
RNAcentral lists this ribosomal RNA (496 nucleotides) under uncultured bacterium. RNAcentral's name for it is "partial 16S ribosomal RNA". It matches the Rfam family "Bacterial small subunit ribosomal RNA", at positions 28 to 507 of the family's 1533-position model. The record is from RNAcentral.